CGGUGUAUCGGUUGACCAUGAAAAAACCCAUUUUUUAAUUUAAUAGCAAAUUUUGCCCGUUGCAUAUGAAAUUUGGUGAUAUCACGAGUUUUUAUUACCAAACACGAGUUCGUGUUUUAUUAAAUGUUUGGUUUUGUCUUUUUUUUUUUCUUUUUUGGGUUCAGAACCUAACACUUGAAUGAUAUAACGCGGUUGAGUGUUAGACUUUACUAAAACAAAUGUUCUUUUUGUUUUUGUAAUUGUUGUAGUUGUCACAAAAUUGGAUAGAACGAUUCGGUGCAGUGGUUGAUAGCGAAUUUGUAGUUUGAUUCGGUGCAAUUUCAUUUGGGUAAACAUUUUUUUUAAUUUCAGUUUUGGUGAAAGUGCAACAAAAACAAAUUAGAUUCAUUUACAAAUCUAUUUUCAUUUGAUUUUAAUACGUAUUAGACUUGCACAUGAAAAUUUUGGAUCUUUAGA
This 456-nucleotide long non-coding RNA is filed under the name Capsella rubella. Its description in RNAcentral is "long non-coding RNA (CRUB_LNC001540)". Lineage: Eukaryota; Viridiplantae; Streptophyta; Magnoliopsida; Brassicales; Brassicaceae. The record is from RNAcentral.